GUGUGUGUAUCAUUUUAGUGUUGUGUUUCUGUUGUGUCGUAGUUCUCUUAUAUUUUAUGCGUUUUCCUCAGUUUUAGUUUGUAACUCGGUUUUGUUUUUUCUCUAUCGAUUUAUGAAUUUCGAACAGCGGUAUACUCCUGUUGCCUUUAUUUCCCAUGAUAACUCCUUUUCAGUUGUGUUGCUUAUUUAAAACAAAUAUUUUGUUAUAGCAGGAGAUAAUAUUUAGAAUUAUUAAUGUUGUUUAUCACGGAUCUUGUUUAUAGC
RNAcentral lists this long non-coding RNA (264 nucleotides) under Mytilus galloprovincialis (Mediterranean mussel). Lineage: Eukaryota; Metazoa; Mollusca; Bivalvia; Mytilida; Mytilidae. The record is from RNAcentral.